UACUAAUACCGGAUACUCUUGCUUUAUAUAAGUUUUGCAAGCAAAGGUGGCCUCUGACAUAAGCUACUGCAUGAAGAGGGGUCUGCGUACCAUUAGCUUGUAGGUGGGGUAAUGGCCUACCUAGGCAACGAUGGUUAGCGGGUCUGAGAGGAUGAUCCGCCACACUGGCACUGGAACACGGGCCAGACUCCUACGGGAGGCAGCAGUGAGGAAUAUUGCGCAAUGGGGGCAACCCUGACGCAGCGACGCCGCGUGAGUGAGGAAGGCCUUCGGGUCGUAAAGCUCUGUCAAAGGGAAAGAAAUGUAUAAUGGCUAAUACCUGUUAUAUUUGACGGUACCCUUAAAGGAAGCACCGGCUAACUCCGUGCCAGCAGCCGCGGUAAUACGGAGGGUGCAAGCGUUGUUCGGAAUUACUGGGCGUAAAGGGCGCGUACGCGGUUUGAUAAGUCAGAUGUGAAAGCCCACGGCUUAACUGUGGAAGUGCAUUUGAUACUAUCAGACUUGAGUACCAGAGGGGAAAGUGGAAUUCCCGGUGUAGAGGUGAAAUUCGUAGAUAUCGGGAGGAAUACCGGUGGCGAAGGCGACUUUCUGGCUGGAUACUGACGCUGAGGCGCGAAAGCGUGGGGAGCAAACAGGAUUAGAUACCCUGGUAGUCCACGCUGUAAACGAUGUCCACUAGAUGUAGGGGGUGUUGAUCCCUUCUGUGUCGCAGCUAACGCAUUAAGUUGAC
This 730-nucleotide ribosomal RNA is filed under the name uncultured bacterium. RNAcentral describes it as "bacterial SSU rRNA". It matches the Rfam family "Bacterial small subunit ribosomal RNA", at positions 161 to 869 of the family's 1533-position model. The record is from RNAcentral.